AUGUCUUUGUACAAGAAUUUGCUGUUUGCGGAAUCACUGAAAAUGCCAUGUGUGGAGCCGAAAGAGAAGACAAAUAAUUCAGUGUGCUCCACCCAAAUUAACUUGGACAGCUGAUUCAGAUCUGAAGGAUAUCUUUACAAAAUGGUGUGACGUAUCUGUUUUGGAUGGCUUUAUCCACUCAGUUUCUUCUUUAGAUGCUCAAAGUGAAAUAAACUUUCAAGAAAAGGUUGCUGCAAUUUUUUACAUAUGGUGCCUUUGAUUGUGCAACCGGAGACAUCUAGCGUUAGAGUUCGUCUAUGGUUUUAGUUAGAGAAAAUCAAACUCAUCAGAAAUUUUAUGUUCUCUCUUUUGGCCCAAUCUAUAUCUUUGAUCCUUCCAACGAACUUUGUCAUAAAUAUGCUGACAGCUUUGUGCUCAACCUGCAUUUCUUGAGGUGUAAGUUCCUACUGGUAAAAUCUUCGAUAAGCUAGUCUUUCUAGAGCUACUUACAUACGAAAUAGAGUGGUGGGAUCUGCUUUCGAUCAUGCUCGCUAGUUCUCCUAAACUACAAAUCCUCUCAAGCUCACAGAUGUAUAACUGCGCGUGGACAAAAGAAAUCCGUACGAUCGGAAAUGGAAUCCACCAAAAUGUGUACCGGAAUGCUUGUUGUUUUUUUUUUUUGAGACAUUCGUGUGGAUAAGAUGCUAGUGAAAACGAGAAGAUGAGCAUGAAGUUGCCACAUACAUACAUCUUUAAGAACGCAAGACGCUUGAAGAAAGCAACUCUCUCCACAAAACCCAUCAAGAGGGGAAUGCUCGAAAAGUUUAAAAAGAGACGUGAGAUGCUUAACGAGUUGGCUAGCUAGAGUGCUAAUGUUUGGUGGACCUUUUGAGAGUUUUGAGGAAGAGAUUCAGAAGAUUAUUACUUUAUA
Camelina sativa (false flax) is the source of this 910-nucleotide non-coding RNA. Lineage: Eukaryota; Viridiplantae; Streptophyta; Magnoliopsida; Brassicales; Brassicaceae. The record is from RefSeq and is a predicted model, not a curated record.